CAACCCUCGAACCCCUCCGGGGGUCCGGCGUUGGGGACUUCGGGAACCCCUAAGACGGGAUCCCGGCCCCGAAAUACAGUGGCGGUCUCGCCGCAGCCUCUCAUGCGCAGUAGUUUGCACAACUCGCACCGGGAGCGCGGCGCGUCCACGUCCGUAAAACACCCAACUUCUGAAA
RNAcentral lists this unclassified non-coding RNA (175 nucleotides) under uncultured Trichoderma. Its description in RNAcentral is "sequence contains ITS2". The record is from RNAcentral. Lineage: Eukaryota; Fungi; Ascomycota; Sordariomycetes; Hypocreales; Hypocreaceae.